CAUCAAGAGAAAAACCCAAAGCAUUAACAAAGAAACAAAACAGCUGUGCUGUGCGUAUGGAUGAAAAUGUGUUGACUGGAAGGCAAGAUAUGAUUGAUCUUCAGAAUGGAGCAGGAGACAGGUCUUUGUCUAAUACUUUACAGUUACCAGUAAUAUCUCACUGCUCAGCCUCAGAGGAGGACCUCAGGGAUGAAUGUAAUGCUGAAACCCUUGGAAUAAGCUCUCCUUCCUCUGUUGACAAGCUUGAUCAGACUAACCAUACUAACAUGGACUCUCUUACCAUAAAUCUAGAUCAAACCAAGCAAGCUCUUGAGGGCAGGUGCAGGAAAACAUAUGUUGUUUCAUCUUCACAUAAAUCCCCCAUUAAGAAAAAAACUGACAGUGGAGCUUCCAGCGACAUUUCUGAACAUGAUCUUUUUACUAAUGAAAUGGAUAAUGUUUCAUCUGUCAUUAACAGAAGCAUGUUUGUCAUGGAAAAAUAUAAUGUGACUUCAGAUGGUUUUAGUGGACACACAAAAAACCUUCAGUUCACAGAGGAGAGGCCUCCCUGGGAGACCCUUGAUGGUUACACUGAAACACUCUCAGAUGAAAGCUCUGCCCAUAGCCCUCAACCAGAGACCCGCAGUCAAACUAUGAACAUUUACCAGGACCAGGACCAGGACUCAGACUUGAGGCACCAAGCUCCAGAAGAAGGCAGGGUUAUGAAGAGUCUAACAAAUACAGAGCAUAACUCUGAUUUCGAGAGAACACGAAGAAGAGCAGCACCAGUCUCCUACAAAGAACCAGCCCUCAACUGCAAGAUGAGGCGUGGGGACAAAUACUCUGAUACAAAAUUCUUAAACUCUCCGGUG
Molecule: long non-coding RNA, 851 nt
Filed under: Sinocyclocheilus anshuiensis
Lineage: Eukaryota; Metazoa; Chordata; Actinopteri; Cypriniformes; Cyprinidae
Description: lncRNA (ENSSANG00000028537.1)
Source: RNAcentral